Non-coding RNA from Misgurnus anguillicaudatus (oriental weatherfish), 202 nucleotides. NCBI's taxonomy places the organism in Eukaryota, Metazoa, Chordata, Actinopteri, Cypriniformes, Cobitidae. The record is from RefSeq and is a predicted model, not a curated record.
UCCGGUCAGUUGGCUUUGAUCUUCUCCAGCAGUAAAAUGGUGUUGCUGUUGAAGCCGUACAUCAGUGUCCUUCUGCUGCUUCAGUUCAGACAGCAACUAUUGGCUCAAAACAGUGAAGCUAAAGGAGAGAAGGGAGAUCGAGGAGUGCAGGGACCACCAGGUAUUGCAGGACCACAUGGACUCAAAGGAGACAGAGGAGACC